CCUACGGGAGGCAGCAGUGAGGAAUAUUGGUCAAUGGGCGCUAGCCUGAACCAGCCAAGUAGCGUGAAGGAUGACUGCCCUAUGGGUUGUAAACUUCUUUUAUAUGGGAAUAAAACGUUCCACGUGUGGGAUUUGUAUGUACCAUAUGAAUAAGGAUCGGCUAACUCCGUGCCAGCAGCCGCGGUAAUACGGAGGAUCCGAGCGUUAUCCGGAUUUAUUGGGUUUAAAGGGAGCGUAGGUGGAUUGUUAAGUCAGUUGUGAAAGUUUGCGGCUCAACCGUAAAAUUGCAGUUGAAACUGGCAGUCUUGAGUACAGUAGAGGUGGGCGGAAUUCGUGGUGUAGCGGUGAAAUGCUUAGAUAUCACGAAGAACUCCGAUUGCGAAGGCAGCUCACUGGACUGCAACUGACACUGAGGCUCGAAAGUGUGGGUAUCAAACAGGAUUAGAUACCCGGGUAGUC
Molecule: ribosomal RNA, 459 nt
Filed under: uncultured bacterium
Lineage: Bacteria
Description: partial 16S ribosomal RNA
Rfam family: Bacterial small subunit ribosomal RNA
Source: RNAcentral